GCCGAUGAUAUGACUGUCUCAAAAUACGUCAGUGCUUUACUCAGUAAUUGACAGUUUCGGACAUCUGCGCUUCAAACUAUAACUAUAGUUCAAACCAUGUGGAUGAUUCGAUCUUGCCUAUGAUUCAAACGUUUGUUAAACUCUAUAAGACACGACUCAACUAUCGUAAAAUUCGCAACAAGACGCUAGAAUCCUGAUCAAAUGCAACUUUAUCCAUCACAAAAGGUCAGGUCAGCAUGGCAACAACUGUUCUAGCAGUCCCAGAACAAGAGCCCCAUAAGAACAAAAAAGACUGCGAUUGUGUGCCAAGAAGAGUCACAUACAAGGACUUAAUGAGGGCUACAAGAAGUGUAUUGCACCAAAUGGUAAAGCAAAUCGUUCAAUUGAACUCAAAUUCUACCACAACUGAAAGACAUAGGCUUCACUUGUAUAUCAAAAAUUACAAAUUCCAAAAGCAAAAUAAGAGAGUGAAGAUGAUGUUACUCACUGACAUAAGAUGUUGGGCAGGUUUUUUUUUGGAGGCCUGAAAUAAAUUGAGUAUACCUUUCUACUCUUAACACUAAAAUGCUGGCUUGCAAAUAGGAAUCUCGAUGCCUGUGUUAGAUCGAUCAAUACAAGCUAAAUCCAAAAAACUGGCUAAUGAUAAUGGCCAGGCCAAGGGCAAUUGCAAUCAGAGAUGAAAUCCAAGUGAGUUUCUCAGUAAUUCUAGGUAUUCGAUCCUUUAAUGCCUGACUACAUGAGCCUAUAAAUACUGUAUAGCUUCCCAUUGCAACCACAGUCCCCAAUAGGAACAUGACUAGAAAUGCAGCACCAGCCAAGCGCGAAGGCAAUGCAAGCGCAGGCAAGACCAUCAUCAAUGCAUCUGGUUGCAAUCCAUGGACAAUCCCAGUGGCAAAAGUAGCAAAGCCUAUCUUCUUCUUCCCCACUGUUGGGUUUUCUAAUGUUUCAUAAACACUAACAUCACACUCGCCAUUUUCAAGGGCAACACAUGGGUUUGGGGCUUCUGAAGCUUCCCUAAUUCCCAUAGCACCAAUAACAAGUAGUGUAAAACCAACUACUCUUGUGCCCCAAGUUCUGAUAAUCUCAAUGUGGAGCUGAUCCUUUAGCAAUAGAAACAACAAGCCAAAUAUGACCUGACCAGCAUCAUGGCCACAACCCCAAAGAGCCCCAACGACAGCACUUUCCAUUCGGGAACGGCCAAUUGAAAGUGGAGCCAAAGCAGCAAGGUGGUCUGGUCCUGACAGUGUAUGUAAGCAACCAGCAAGGAAACCAGUCCACGCACUACUUAAUAAUUCAGUACGCAACAGUUUUGCCCCAACUGCAGCAGCAGCAACAGGACCCCCAGUCUUUGCAGCAGUUUGAAAGGUUGCAAAUGCUGGUGAAGCAAAAACUGGGUGGAUUAAGAACAUGAUGACAGCUGAGAGUAAUAUAAACGUCCCCAGAUUAACUGCCUUUUGUUGCACAGAAGCUCCAUUUGCGAUCUGUUGGGGAAAAUGGGAUUUUGGAAUUGACCCAGUUCGCGAGUAAACCGGGGGAGGACAUAGAGAGGGCAGUUUAAUUGAAGGGGUUGAUGGGUUCUCAUGACUGCAGGAAACUAAGUUGAGUCUCCUGAACCCAGGGCGUUCUAGAGAGGGAAAACCAAGUUUGGGCAAGUCAAAUCGUCGAAGUGGAGGGAGAAAUGGGUUGGGUUUAAGGUGGAAUUUGAGAGUAGGAGUAGGAGAAGAAGAGUGUAGAAGCCUCUCCAUGGCCUCUCUCCGUCUUUCUCUCUAUGAAACGUAAAGCUUCGGUAGAGGGAGAGGGACAGAGAGGACGAAGGAGGACUACGGAUGUGGGGUUGGUGAGGAUAGAGUUUUGGCCGAUGAGAGUGCUGGCGGAAAAAUAUAGAAUAGGAAUGAUCCUCUUCUUGUUAGAGCACAAGUUCAACAGUUUACCACCGUUCCCCCGAUUAUGGCGUAACGAGCCAAUGACAUGUUUCCAAACAAGUUCAAUUUUCUUUCUUUUCUCCUUUUCAUUGAUGGUUGCUUAAUCUAGUUUCCCCGCG
RNAcentral lists this unclassified non-coding RNA (2041 nucleotides) under Hevea brasiliensis (rubber tree). The record is from RNAcentral. Lineage: Eukaryota; Viridiplantae; Streptophyta; Magnoliopsida; Malpighiales; Euphorbiaceae.